RNAcentral lists this ribosomal RNA (436 nucleotides) under Vibrio cholerae CT 5369-93. RNAcentral describes it as "bacterial LSU rRNA". It matches the Rfam family "Bacterial large subunit ribosomal RNA", at positions 2495 to 2925 of the family's 2925-position model. Lineage: Bacteria; Pseudomonadati; Pseudomonadota; Gammaproteobacteria; Vibrionales; Vibrionaceae. The record is from RNAcentral.
AGAGUUCAUAUCGACGGCGGUGUUUGGCACCUCGAUGUCGGCUCAUCACAUCCUGGGGCUGAAGUCGGUCCCAAGGGUAUGGCUGUUCGCCAUUUAAAGUGGUACGCGAGCUGGGUUUAGAACGUCGUGAGACAGUUCGGUCCCUAUCUGCCGUGGGCGUUGGAAGAUUGAAGGGGGCUGCUCCUAGUACGAGAGGACCGGAGUGGACGAACCUCUGGUGUUCGGGUUGUGUCGCCAGACGCAUUGCCCGGUAGCUAAGUUCGGAAUUGAUAAGCGCUGAAAGCAUCUAAGCGCGAAGCGAGCCCUGAGAUGAGUCUUCCCUGAUACUUUAAGUAUCCUAAAGGGUUGUUCGAGACUAGAACGUUGAUAGGCAGGGUGUGUAAGCGUUGUGAGGCGUUGAGCUAACCUGUACUAAUUGCCCGUGAGGCUUAACCAU